This 428-nucleotide ribosomal RNA is filed under the name uncultured bacterium. RNAcentral's name for it is "partial 16S ribosomal RNA". It matches the Rfam family "Bacterial small subunit ribosomal RNA", at positions 354 to 796 of the family's 1533-position model. The record is from RNAcentral.
GUGGGGAAUAUUGCGCAAUGGGGGAAACCCUGACGCAGCGACGCCGUGUGAGGGAAGAAGGCUUUCGGGUUGUAAACUUCUUUUACCAGGGACGAAACAAAUGACGGUACCUGGUGAAUAAGCCACGGCUAACUACGUGCCAGCAGCCGCGGUAAUACGUAGGUGGCGAGCGUUAUCCGGAUUUAUUGGGUGUAAAGGGCGUGUAGGCGGGACAGCAAGUCAGAUGUGAAAACCAGAGGCUCAACCUCUGGCCUGCAUUUGAAACUGUUGUUCUUGAGUGUCGGAGAGGUAAUCGGAAUUCCGUGUGUAGCGGUGAAAUGCGUAGAUAUACGGAGGAACACCAGUGGCGAAGGCGGAUUACUGGACGAUAACUGACGCUGAGGCGCGAAAGCGUGGGGAGCAAACAGGAUUAGAUACCCUUGUAGUCC